Small nucleolar RNA from Coffea eugenioides, 162 nucleotides. RefSeq annotates it as small nucleolar RNA snoR145. The transcript has a single exon. NCBI's taxonomy places the organism in Eukaryota, Viridiplantae, Streptophyta, Magnoliopsida, Gentianales, Rubiaceae. The record is from RefSeq and is a predicted model, not a curated record.
UAGCAAAGGUCCCAGUGGAGUAAAAAAGUAAAAAACUCUGGUAAUUGAGGCCCCUCUAACAAUUGAAUGUAAAACCUUUGUAAUUUUGCUUAUUGGGCCGAAUUGUGGGAUGUACCAAUUAUCCUUUGUUUUGGUACUUCUGGAAUCCUUGUCUGUUGAUCC